UUGGGUCGGGGAGUGCAGCGAUGCAUGUCGAACGGCAGCGCGAGAGAGCUUGCUCUCUUGGCGGCGAGUGGCGGACGGGUGAGUAAUAUAUCGGAACGUGCCCAGUAGCGGGGGAUAACUACUCUAAAGAGUGGCUAAUACCGCACACGCCCUACGGGGGAAAGGGGGGGAUCCCUUCACCUCUCACUAUUGGAGCGGCCGAUAUCGGAUUAUUCUAGUUGGUGGGGUAAAGGCUCACCACGGCGACGAUCCGUAUCUGGUUUGAGAGGACGACCACCCACACUGGGACUGAGACACGGCCCCCACUCCUACGGGAGGCGGCAGUGGGGAAUUUUGGACAAUGGGGGAAACCCUGAUCCAGCCCUCCCGCGUGUAUGAUGAAGGCCUUCGGGUUGUAAAGUACUUUUGGCAGAGAAGAAAAGGUACCUCCUAAUACGAGGUACUGCUGACGGUAUCUGCAGAAUAAGCACCGGCUAACUACGUGCCAGCAGCCGCGGUAAUACGUAGGGUGCAAGCGUUAAUCGGAAUUACUGGGCGUAAAGCGUGUGUAGGCGGUUCGGAAAGAAAGAUGUGAAAUCCCAGGGCUCAACCUUGGAACUGCAUUUUUAACUGCCGAGCUAUAGUAUGUCAGAGGGGGGUAGAAUUCCACGUGUAGCACUGAAAUGCGUAGAUAUGUGGAGGAAUACCGAUGGCGAAGGCAGCCCCCUGGGAUAAUACUGACGCUCACACACGAAAGCGUGUGGAGCAAACAGGAUUAUAUACCCUGGUAGUCCACGCCCUAAACGAUGUCAACUAUCUGGUGGGGCCGUUAUGCCUUAGUAGCUCAGCUAACGCGUGAAGUUGACCGCCUGGGGGAGUACGGUCGCCAGAUUAAUACUCAUAGGAAUUGACGGGGACCGCCCCAGCAGGUGGAGGAUGGGGGAUUAUUUCUUUGCAACGCCGAAAAACAUUACUUACCCUUGAAUUGGUUGGGAAGACCAAAAAAAAUUUGGCCGGGCUCCCAAAAAAAACCGGAACCCAGGGGU
Molecule: ribosomal RNA, 1025 nt
Filed under: Pectobacterium carotovorum subsp. carotovorum
Lineage: Bacteria; Pseudomonadati; Pseudomonadota; Gammaproteobacteria; Enterobacterales; Pectobacteriaceae
Description: partial 16S ribosomal RNA
Rfam family: Bacterial small subunit ribosomal RNA
Source: RNAcentral